RNAcentral lists this ribosomal RNA (460 nucleotides) under uncultured bacterium. Its description in RNAcentral is "partial 16S ribosomal RNA". It matches the Rfam family "Bacterial small subunit ribosomal RNA", at positions 338 to 795 of the family's 1533-position model. The record is from RNAcentral.
CCUACGGGAGGCAGCAGUGAGGAAUAUUGGUCAAUGGGCGCUAGCCUGAACCAGCCAAGUAGCGUGAAGGAUGACUGCCCUAUGGGUUGUAAACUUCUUUUAUAUGGGAAUAAAGUGCAGUAUGUAUACUGCUUUGCAUGUACCUUAUGAAUAAGGAUCGCCUAACUCCGUGCCAGCCGCCGCGGUAAUACGGAGGAUCCGAGCGUUCUCCGGAUUUAUUGGGUUUAAAGGGAGUGUAGGCGGGUUGUUAAGUCCGUUGUGAAAGUUUGCGGCGGAACCGUAAAAUUGCAGUGGAUACUGGCAUCGUUGAGGACAGUAGAGGUAGGCGGAAGUCGUGGGGGAGCGGUGAAAUGCUUAGAUAUCACGAAGAACUCCGAUUGGGAAGGCAGCCUGCUGGACUGUAACUGACGCUGAUGCUCGAAAGUGUGGGUAUCAAACAGGAUUAGAUACCCCAGUAGUC